CCUACGGGUGGCAGCAGUGGGGAAUAUUGCACAAUGGGGGAAACCCUGAUGCAGCGACGCCGCGUGAGUGAAGAAGUAUUUCGGUACGUAAAGCUCUAUCAGCAGGGAAGAAAAUGACGGUACCUGACUAAGAAGCCCCGGCUAACUACGUGCCAGCAGCCGCGGUAAUACGUAGGGGGCAAGCGUUAUCCGGAUUUACUGGGUGUAAAGGGAGCGUAGACGGCAGCGCAAGUCUGGAGUGAAAUCCCAUGGCUUAACCAUGGAACUGCUUUGGAAACUGUGCAGCUAGAGUGCAGGAGAGGUAAGCGGAAUUCCUAGUGUAGCGGUGAAAUGCGUAGAUAUUAGGAGGAACACCAGUGGCGAAGGCGGCUUACUGGACUGUAACUGACGUUGAGGCUCGAAAGCGUGGGGAGCAAACAGUAUUAGAUACCCCAGUAGUC
This 440-nucleotide ribosomal RNA is filed under the name uncultured bacterium. RNAcentral's name for it is "partial 16S ribosomal RNA". It matches the Rfam family "Bacterial small subunit ribosomal RNA", at positions 338 to 795 of the family's 1533-position model. The record is from RNAcentral.